AGAGUUUGAUCAUGGCUCAGAUUGAACGCUGGCGGCAGGCCUAACACAUGCAAGUCGAGCGGUAGCACAGAGAGCUUGCUCUCGGGUGACGAGCGGCGGACGGGUGAGUAAUGUCUGGGAAACUGCCUGAUGGAGGGGGAUAACUACUGGAAACGGUAGCUAAUACCGCAUAAUGUCGCAAGACCAAAGUGGGGGACCUUCGGGCCUCAUGCCAUCAGAUGUGCCCAGAUGGGAUUAGCUAGUAGGUGGGGUAACGGCUCACCUAGGCGACGAUCCCUAGCUGGUCUGAGAGGAUGACCAGCCACACUGGAACUGAGACACGGUCCAGACUCCUACGGGAGGCAGCAGUGGGGAAUAUUGCACAAUGGGCGCAAGCCUGAUGCAGCCAUGCCGCGUGUGUGAAGAAGGCCUUCGGGUUGUAAAGCACUUUCAGCGGGGAGGAAGGCGGUGAGGUUAAUAACCUCAUCGAUUGACGUUACCCGCAGAAGAAGCACCGGCUAACUCCGUGCCAGCAGCCGCGGUAAUACGGAGGGUGCAAGCGUUAAUCGGAAUUACUGGGCGUAAAGCGCACGCAGGCGGUCUGUCAAGUCGGAUGUGAAAUCCCCGGGCUCAACCUGGGAACUGCAUUCGAAACUGGCAGGCUAGAGUCUUGUAGAGGGGGGUAGAAUUCCAGGUGUAGCGGUGAAAUGCGUAGAGAUCUGGAGGAAUACCGGUGGCGAAGGCGGCCCCCUGGACAAAGACUGACGCUCAGGUGCGAAAGCGUGGGGAGCAAACAGGAUUAGAUACCCUGGUAGUCCACGCCGUAAACGAUGUCGAUUUGGAGGUUGUGCCCUUGAGGCGUGGCUUCCGGAGCUAACGCGUUAAAUCGACCGCCUGAGGAGUACGGCCGCAAGGUUAAAACUCAAAUGAAUUGACGGGGGCCCGCACAAGCGGUGGAGCAUGUGGUUUAAUUCGAUGCAACGCGAAGAACCUUACCUGGUCUUGACAUCCACAGAACUUUCCAGAGAUGGAUUGGUGCCUUCGGGAACUGUGAGACAGGUGCUGCAUGGCUGUCGUCAGCUCGUGUUGUGAAAUGUUGGGUUAAGUCCCGCAACGAGCGCAACCCUUAUCCUUUGUUGCCAGCGGUCCGGCCGGGAACUCAAAGGAGACUGCCAGUGAUAAACUGGAGGAAGGUGGGGAUGACGUCAAGUCAUCAUGGCCCUUACGACCAGGGCUACACACGUGCUACAAUGGCAUAUACAAAGAGAAGCGACCUCGCGAGAGCAAGCGGACCUCAUAAAGUAUGUCGUAGUCCGGAUUGGAGUCUGCAACUCGACUCCAUGAAGUCGGAAUCGCUAGUAAUCGUAGAUCAGAAUGCUACGGUGAAUACGUUCCCGGGCCUUGUACACACCGCCCGUCACACCAUGGGAGUGGGUUGCAAAAGAAGUAGGUAGCUUAACCUUCGGGAGGGCGCUUACCACUUUGUGAUUCAUGACUGGGGUGAAGUCGUAACAAGGUAACCGUAGGGGAACCUGCGGUUGGAUCACCU
Molecule: ribosomal RNA, 1528 nt
Filed under: Klebsiella pneumoniae UCI 21
Lineage: Bacteria; Pseudomonadati; Pseudomonadota; Gammaproteobacteria; Enterobacterales; Enterobacteriaceae
Description: bacterial SSU rRNA
Rfam family: Bacterial small subunit ribosomal RNA
Source: RNAcentral